GUGCCAGAGCCGCGGUAAUACGUAGGUGGCAAGCGUUAUCCGGAAUUAUUGGGCGUAAAGCGCGCGCAGGUGGUUUCUUAAGUCUGAUGUGAAAGCCCACGGCUCAACCGUGGAGGGUCAUUGGAAACUGGGAGACUUGAGUGCAGAAGAGGAAAGUGGAAUUCCAUGUGUAGCGGUGAAAUGCGUAGAGAUAUGGAGGAACACCAGUGGCGAAGGCGACUUUCUGGUCUGUAACUGACACUGAGGCGCGAAAGCGUGGGGAGCAAACAGGAUUAGAUAC
RNAcentral lists this ribosomal RNA (280 nucleotides) under uncultured prokaryote. RNAcentral describes it as "partial 16S ribosomal RNA". It matches the Rfam family "Bacterial small subunit ribosomal RNA", at positions 505 to 785 of the family's 1533-position model. The record is from RNAcentral.